This 2772-nucleotide long non-coding RNA is filed under the name Homo sapiens (human). RNAcentral's name for it is "non-protein coding LINC01208:8". The record is from RNAcentral. Lineage: Eukaryota; Metazoa; Chordata; Mammalia; Primates; Hominidae.
AGAGGAGACUGACUAAAGUUUGGUUGACGACGGAGUCCUUGUCACAGCAAAGAAUCAUCCUGCCCUUGUCUAUUCUUGGGUAAAACCCACCCCAGCCUUCCUCAUGGCUCCUUUUUGGUGCUGUGUUUCAGGCAGGAGCAGAAUCCUCACCUUUGGAACCCUGUUCACUCCACCCAGAACAAGAAACAGAUCGAGGAAGAGGCAGAGUAACAACAGCCGGGAAGAAGAUACAGUUUUGUCAUUUUGUAGUGAGACUGUGCCCUAUACAUGAACCUAUUUGCCAGACCCAUCAAGUGAAUUCCGUGAUUCUUAUGAAAAAGCUAAGUUUAUUUCAAAGUUUUAGUAGAACACAUUGAAAAUAGUCAUCACUUAUUGUGCUCAGAGCCACUUCAUUGAUUUUAUUUCUUAAGCUAGAUAGCUAUCAACUACAAAGUCAGCCUUCUGGGAAGAAACCUGUAUGUCAUGAAAUCAGCAUGAAUUUUAGGUUAAGACAAAUCUGCAUUUCAAUCUUUGCUUGGCCAUUUAGAGUUUUGCAAUUAUGGGUGGUUCCAUGGCCUAACUGAGCUUCAGUUUCCUUAUUUGUGAAAUUGGGUUAAUACAACUAUUACAGAUUAGCACAAAUGAAGUAUAUGUAGCAAGCAUUCAAAACACAUUACAAUUCCUUGCUUAUUCUUUAGCCUUUUUGGUUUCUUCAUGUUUAGCCCAUGUAAAGUGAAGUAAAUCAAAUAAACCAUCGCUGAUUUUGGGUGAAGAAAUGAAACCCCAGAGCCCAGAAUUAGUACAGAUCUGGUGGUAUAACUCUAUGCUGAGCUAUACCAUCUACAUCCCUUAAUUACACUUCUAGGUUCUGACCACUAAAGUGCUGGGAUUAUGUUAAAUUCAGUUGGUGAGGAUGAAACAUAGAGCUAUGAGCUCAUCAGUAAUCUCCCCAGUCAAGCCUUCCACAUCAUUGUUUUUGCCUUUUUAGGCUCAAGAGGUUAAUGACAUUUUUUUAAAAAAUGAUUUUUCAAGUGCUUGAAGAUUACAGUUAAACUGGAUAUAUAAUCUGCUCCACUUUUGACCCUAAAAAACUGUAAAAUGCAGAAAUGUAACAUAGCGAUCUUAUCCUAACUCAGAUAAAUUUGCUAAAACACACACAUAUACUUUUGUUAUUUACAUUGGGAAAAACAAUUCUAAAUUCAAUCCUGGAUAAGUAUUUUUAAACGCAAACUUUAUGACCCAAUUCUGUUUCUACUGAACAGUGAGCUCAGGAGCAAGUGUUCAGGGAUAUGAUAAAAUCUGUAUGAUUUGAAGGAGAAAAUACGCCCGUAGUGAAAGAUAUGGGAAGAAGUUCUCACAAAUGGGAGAGAAAUUGAUUCUUUUCUUAUCAAAUUUUGUAGGAUGAGAUGCAGAUCUGAUUUCUAGGUAUUGCAGAUCAUGAGACUGAAAAAUUCAUAGGAUGCUUUAUUUUCUCCUCUUUCUUUCGCUACCUGGCAAACUGUUGGCCUGGGGUCUGGGAAGCCAUCUCUGUGUUGAGCCCCCAACCUGCUCUCCAUGAAGUUCCAAGAAGGUAACCUGACCGCGUUGGUCUUACCCCUCUGAUUAUACAGUGCCAUUAGACCUGUGAGAGGGGCUGUGACAGUGGAACCCGAAUGAAGACAGGAAAAGUCUGUAGAGGACUGAUGGUUAUGUUCACCAUUCAAAUUGCAAGAAAACCAAUAAGAAGUCAGUAAAGUGCAUUCAAAGAGAAAGGUGGGACUCGUGAAGCAGCAAUACUAAACUGAUACACAAAGGAUCCCCGUACUUCAUCAAAAUAUCAAUGUUGUCCAUGACACACAAAGAACCCAGCUGUAGUUUAAUUCAGCAUCACAGUCCCAACAUGUUUUAAAACAUGUUCCAGCUUUUGGUCCCAGGAUUAUUCAACCUAGCUCAUAAAAGAAAACAAUAUUGCAUUUCUAAGUAUUGGCUCCUAGAAUUGGCAAGUUUAGUCAAGAAAAGCUGGAAUGCCGUUAAAACAACACCCUGUCAUCUUUCAAUCAGUCCUUAGCUGAAGUUAAAAUCCCACUCAUUCUGCAUGAUCCAGCCUCUGUAGCAUAGAGUGAGUAGCCCCUUAACAAGAACCAAAAUGGAGGGUACGGAUGAGGCUCAGAUCGUCACCACCUGGAGAAUAGAGACAGUGACUGAGUCACCAGGAAAUCUGUCCCCUGCUCAUCCCAGAAUCCCCGAGCUUUGACUUUUUAAGAGAACAUGUGACAGAUAAUGCCAUCUGAGAAGUCCAGCUUAGGCAACUCAGUCAUCAAUGUGUCCUCGAGAAGAGCAUAUCCCCAAAUUGGAAAAUAAUCCUUCAGGGCAUCUGAACAUAACCACAUUUGGCUUACUUUGUGAAGCAGUUGUCUGAAUAGAAUAAGACUGGCUUGGAACGAGGCGAGUGUUAGACAUUUUAAAAUGCAUUUUAAGAAAAAUUAAUUCUGGGUCUUUCUGCUUACCAUAUUUGUUUGCUAUGUAUUUUUUUUGUUUUGUUUUUUGAGACAGGGUCUUGCUCUGUCACUCAGGCUGGAGCGCAGUGGCACAAUCAUGGCUUACUGCAGCCUCUACCUCCCGGGCUCAAGCAAUCCUCCCACUUCAGUUUCUUGAGUAGCUGGGACUACAAGUGUGUGCCACCACACCAAGCUAAUUUUUUACUUUUUUGCAAAGAUAGGGGUCUCACUAUGUUGCCCAAGCUGGACUUGAACACCUAGGCUCAAGCAAUCUUCCCACCUUGAUCUCCCGAAGUGUUGGGAUUAUAGCAUGAAC